RNAcentral lists this long non-coding RNA (1464 nucleotides) under Parus major (Great Tit). RNAcentral's name for it is "lncRNA (ENSPMJG00000002378.1)". Lineage: Eukaryota; Metazoa; Chordata; Aves; Passeriformes; Paridae. The record is from RNAcentral.
CUGAAAGGUAGUAACAACACUGGGGAGGCAGAGAAUGGUGAGCUUUCUUGCUGGGACAGGGACAGCAGUGGAACUCCAUGACAAGUUUGUGCUAGGACCUGGGAUGUUCUGUGGUACUCAUGACCAUCCUUGAUAAAAUAAUGACCACAAGUGGGAAGAGGAUAUUCUGCCACAUAAAAUUCUGACCUAACAUAGUACUGAUACUUCUGUGUAAAGAUCCCUCCAUCAUGGUGCAAAAAAUGCUCUACUGGACUUUGAUAUAAUUUCUUGUUAUUUUGGACAUGGAGAAGUGGAACAACUGUUUUUGAGCUUACAGACACUUCACAGCACCCCAAGGAGACCUGGGCAAGCAGAAGUUCCCUAGCAGGUACAAGACAAGGGCAGUGAUGACUGAAGUCAGUCCAUAUUGUUCAGCUUGCAAUGCCCUCAGACUUCAGUGAGUGCCAUGUAUUUCUUCAGGAUGUUUUGCUCCAGAGGCAAGGAAAACGAGGCUGAGAGGGCUAGAGAGACCCCCAGGAUUGCAUGGCCUGUUUGUGGCACAGCCAGGGUUUGCAUUUGGGAUUUCUUGGUAUCAGGAAGAUUUGGAGUUCACUGCAUUACGAGAUGUUGCUGACUGCAAGUGACUGGAGUAAACAAUGGCUGCAGUGCACAGAAACCAUGUGUGUGGCAUCUGCACGGGGGAUGGCACUGACUUGCCCCAUGACACAUGCAGAAGAGAAGCACUGUCUGACUGGCACUGUCUACACUUGGCCCAGGAUUCUCACCCAGGGAAUAAACAAAAAGUGUCUUCGAGGCAGAGGGGAGAAGUCCCCAUCUGGCUUCCAGGCCUGGGCAGAUACCAUGUAGUGCUGUCAAGCCCCCUCACAAAGCAGUGUCCUCUUUUUCUUCCCAAAUCUCUGCCAUCCUUUAUCCUGUCCCAGAUGUCCUUUCACAACUGCCCAGUCCCACCUGAUUCAUGUUUGUAAUACUCUCAAUUAAAAAAUUAGUAAUUAAAAUGAAGCCCUCUUUUCCCAUAUUACUCCCAGCCAUUACACUGUUCCAUCUGCCCAUUCCCAGAUCCCUUCUUGUUUUUAAAAGACUCAUUAGCAUGUGAUCUUGUCUCUGCCAGGAUUCCCCAGUGCCAUCUGCUCCCUUCCUAGAUGAUCAGUCUCGCUCAGAUCACUGUUUACCACACUUAAAAAUAUGACACAUUUUCUAAGCUUGGAGGAUGCUGUUGUGUUUCUCUACAAAAGUCAGUGGCUAUCAGUUUCUUGCCACAUUGACCUUCGUCCUUAGAUGCCCUGAUGCAUUCCCAGAACUCUGGGGGUUUUGUGGUGGCAGCAGAUCUGUGUCCCUCAGGCUAUACAGCCACAUGCUGGGCUAUAAUUUGUUUAAGACAUUUAGCACCUCCCCAGAUUCAGCAUCCUCUUUGUGGGAACAAUUUGUGUCCAUCUUAAUUCCUGCAGCAUAAAAUUACUAAGUUCA